GCCCAUCUGUGUGUAGAUAGUGUUCAGUACCAAUGACAGGCAUGUUCAUCUGUGUGUAGAUAGUGUUCAGUACCAAGGACAGGCAUGUUUACCU
Molecule: microRNA precursor, 94 nt
Filed under: Branchiostoma floridae (Florida lancelet)
Lineage: Eukaryota; Metazoa; Chordata; Leptocardii; Amphioxiformes; Branchiostomatidae
Description: mir-2060 microRNA precursor family
Rfam family: mir-2060 microRNA precursor family
Source: Rfam by way of RNAcentral